UCCUGUGUUUUUUGAGUUUGUAAAAUUUCACCUGUUGCGCGAAUCGAUAAAUAACUGCUCGUAUGUUUUAUUAAUUUUUUUGAGUUGUUGUUAAUUGAUAAAGGACGGAUAGUAUUAAUUCGUGUUAUCACCCCAAAACCGUAAGGUAUUUUAAAUUUGUAAAUAUUGAGCAAUAUGUGCUAAGUGUCCCAUCCACUAUAUUAUAAAAGCCGCUCAAACAAACAGUAUAUUAAGUAAGACAUCCGUUUUUUUUAAUAACUGCCAUUGCACCGUCAUGCGAGAAUACGUAAUAUAAUUCAUUUUUUGAAUGAAUGAAAUUUAUUUCGUCUCUUCGGUCACGAUAACGAAGAGCAAGAGAUUUGACAAAAGCCAAAAGAUGGGUAGUAACUUCUACAUGUGAUAUGUUCUUUUUAACUAGAGAAUCAAAAAGCGAAAGCUCAACGCCUAUAGAGAACUAUCUCAUAACAAUAGACUUGAACUGAAGAUUACCACUCGCCACAAUCAUUUCCGUAAACCUGACUUAUGUAUACGUAACAAAGCAUUGCAUUGUAUUUUGUGUAACAAAUCUGUUUGCUGGUUUUAUUUAACAAAGGCACAAAAGAUGACAAACUAUUCAUUUUACACCCGGUAGUCUUCAGAUAGAAACAGCAAAAGCUUCACAUACAUACGUGUAAUGUAUGGCACAUUCUUAUAUUUUAUUGGAAUCUAUUUACAAAAGGCUCAACAGCCAACAUCAAGGUCAUUCAGAUGCUGACGGCACCAAAUAUUUUCAAUCGAUUAAGCAUAUCAGCAUGUUUAUUGAAAAGCAGAUUAUGAGCUCAGGCUGUGGAUACACGUUACAUGUUUUAGCAACUUUAAUGGCGCAUUUAAAACGAGGCAUCCAGAUGUACAGACUUAAAAAUUGUUUGGUUUGCAUUUCAGAACUGAAAUAGAAAUAAAAUAUUUUAAAACACUUUUCUAAAUUGCACACACAUAACCAAAACAAAUUUAUGUUUCAUCUAGCAAGAGCCGUUGAUGAUAAUA
Molecule: non-coding RNA, 1023 nt
Organism: Ciona intestinalis (vase tunicate)
Lineage: Eukaryota; Metazoa; Chordata; Ascidiacea; Phlebobranchia; Cionidae
Source: RefSeq, a predicted model, not a curated record